UCAGUUUGAUUCUGGCUGAAAACUUAACUAUCUUAAAUCAAUAUACAUGUAAGUUCAGGCUGCCCCGCAAUCAUAAACUUCCUAAAAGGAUAAAUUACUAUAUUAAGAUUCCUAAAUGUAGUAGAGCGCCACAGUAAGUAAUACUAAAAUUCUGCAAAAGCAGGAAUUGGACAUUAAUUUAAGGGUUGGCAAAAUUCGUGCCAGCUGCCGCGGUUAGACGAUAAACCCAAGUUAACUAUAAGACGACUAAAUAUAGGAUGCACUAAACAGUUUUAAAGGUCUAAUUUAGCAACCUGAGGCUCCAAAGCAUCAAAAAUUUUAUGAAAACAUAAACUAAAACACGGAUUAGAUACCCGUCUAUUUAUGUAGUAAACAAAGUCGAAAAAUACGAACUAUAGUUUAAAACUCAAAGAUUUUGGCGGUGCCUUAUCAAACCAGGGGAACCUGUCUCAUAACUCGAUAAUCCACGAACACCUUACCUCUUCUAGAUUCAUCAGCUUGUGUACUGCCGUCGUAAGCAUACCUCUAAAAGCAACUUUAGCAUGCAAAUAUGGCCCCCACCCCAUUUACGUCAGGUCAAAGUGCAGCCCAUGAAGAGGUGAUGAUGGGUUACACCCUAAAUAAAGACACGAAAUAUAGAUUUAAACCCUAUAUAAAGGUGGACUUGGCCGUAAUAUUGAUCCAAAAUUAAAAUGAAAAUGAAUCUAAGACAUGCACACAUCGCCCGUCACUCUCGCCUAAAGGUGAGAUAAGUCGUAACAAAGUAGGUGUAACGGAAGUUGCACCUGU
Molecule: non-coding RNA, 789 nt
Filed under: Eisenia balatonica
Lineage: Eukaryota; Metazoa; Annelida; Clitellata; Crassiclitellata; Lumbricidae
Source: RNAcentral